CAUAAAAUUCCUCCGCCUGACACCAGGUCCCAGAGCGACAGGGCUUCCACCGCCCUCUGACCCUGUUCCGCCCGUUCUUCCUUGGUUCAGAAGCAGCUGUCGAUCGCCGGCCAGUCGUUAGGCCACCACAGGGAGGAAAGUUCCUCAAGCCCGGUUUACCAGCGUUGAGCUGCCUGCCACGGGCCUGCUGCUUCCACGAGGCCCAGGGCGCAGGUUGAACUGGAACCCGGGCGCUGACGGGAAUCGGCUAAUCCCGGUGCGGGGUGGGGACCUCCGUGACCGCCUCGCGGGGCUCUGGCCACGCCCCUUCCUAAGCCCCGCCCAAGGCUGGCGGGGCGGUUUCCAUGGUGACAGUACACAAAACUCCGCGCUGCGGUGGCCCCCCACAGCCGUGCUCCCCAAACCCUCGCUCCUGCAAAUAAGGCGACCGAGAAUGACAGCGCAAAUGUAAUGAACUGAGACGCGGAGAAAUGGGGGCCCAAGUGGGGGCCAGGCCCUGGGAGGGGCAGCCUGGGGGGCCAGGACGCGUGAGCUGUGGUGCGAGGACCUGCAGCCCUCAGAAGAGGCAGCCCCACCUGCAGAACCAGGGACUGAGCUCUGAGGGAGCAGCGGUGCAGGUGGAGGCCGACGGGACGGGAGCCCGGGCGGCAGAGCUGGGAGAAGACACCAGGAACAAGAAGGGCUCGUUCAAGCGAGACCUUGUGUUUCCCUAGAAAGGAGCAGGCCGCUUGCAAAGGAGGGGAAUCUCCAGACUAGGAGUAUGAGCCCUGUGCACCAAUGGGUGAAGUCAUAUAAUUAUCUUUCUCUGAUUGACUUAUUUCACUUGGCCUAAUACGCUCUAGUUCCAUCUACGUCAUUGCAAAUGGUCACAGGCUGAGCUACAUUCCCUUGGGUCCCCUCUCCUGCUGAUGUCCCAGUAACGUCUUGUCUGCCUGAGUCCAUCUUCAGGGCUGGGCGCUGUGGGAUUCUGACCACCAGUCAGUGCUCAGG
This is a long non-coding RNA of Mustela lutreola (European mink), 990 nucleotides long. RefSeq lists it as uncharacterized. The transcript has 3 exons. The record is from RefSeq and is a predicted model, not a curated record. Lineage: Eukaryota; Metazoa; Chordata; Mammalia; Carnivora; Mustelidae.